RNAcentral lists this ribosomal RNA (903 nucleotides) under uncultured archaeon. RNAcentral's name for it is "bacterial SSU rRNA". It matches the Rfam family "Archaeal small subunit ribosomal RNA", at positions 44 to 921 of the family's 1478-position model. The record is from RNAcentral.
CUAAGACAUGCUAGUCGUGCGCCUCCAAGCCAUGGUGGAGGCGCGGCGCACAGCUCAGUAACACGUGGUUAACCUGCCCUUGGGACGGAAACACCCCCGGGAAACUGGGGCUAAUUUCUGAUAGGUGAAGACUCCUGGAAUGGAUCUUCGCCUAAAGGGCGCUUAGGCCAUGCUUCUAGGCGCUGCCCAAGGAUGGGGCCGCGGCCGAUCAGGUUGUUGGUGAGGUAAUGGCUCACCAAGCCUUUAACCGGUUCGGGCCGUGGGAGCGGGAGCCCGGAGAUGGGCACUGAGACAAGGGCCCAGGCCCUACGGGGCGCAGCAGUCGCGAAAACUCCGCAAUACGCGAAGGCGUGACGGGGCUAUCCCGAGUGCCGUCCGCUGAGGAUGGCUUUUCCCCAGUGUAGAUAGCUGGGGGAAUAAGGAGAGGGCAAGUCUGGUGUCAGCCGCCGCGGUAAUACCAGCUCUCCGAGUGGUGGGGAUGUUUAUUGGGCCUAAAGCAUCCGUAGCUGGCUGGGCAAGUCCUCCGUUAAAUCCAGCGAUUUAAUCGUUGGCCUGCGGGGGAUACUGUCCGGCUUGGAGGCGAGAGAGGCCGACGGUAUUCUCGGGGUAGGGGUGAAAUCCUAUAAUCCCGAGAGGACCACCAGUGGCGAAGGCUGUCGGCUAGAACGCGCUCGACGGUGAGGGAUGAAAGCUGGGGGAGCGAACCGGAUUAGAUACCCGGGUAGUCCCAGCUGUAAACGAUGCAGGCUAGGUGUUAGGGCGGCUACGCGCCGCUCUAGUGCCGCAGGGAAACUGUUUAGCCUGCCGCCUGGGGAGUACGGCCGCAAGGCUGAAACUUAAAGGAAUUGGCGGGGGAGCACCACAAGGGGUGAAGCUUGCGGUUUAAUUGGAUUCAAGCGCCGG